This is a long non-coding RNA of Chenopodium quinoa (quinoa), 2260 nucleotides long. RefSeq lists it as uncharacterized. The transcript is spliced from 7 exons. Lineage: Eukaryota; Viridiplantae; Streptophyta; Magnoliopsida; Caryophyllales; Amaranthaceae. The record is from RefSeq and is a predicted model, not a curated record.
CCCUUUUCUUUACCCAGUCUUCUCUGCUCAGUCUUUUGCUCCUCUCAGUUUUCCUCAUCUUCUCUCCUCUCUUUUCACGUUCUUUAUCUCCUCUUCUCUCCUCUCAAUUUUUUUUUGUGAAAUUCGAACAGAUUUGUAGGUGGUUUGGCGAAAUUUUUUUUUGGUUUGCAGCAAGAUGACGAGACUUCUUUAAUGGAAGCAAGAGGGUUUUAAUUCUCCUCCCUUUUUCAUGAUCUGGGUUUUAAUUUCACUAUAAUUGAUGUUGAUUUUUUGUAGUUGUUUUCUCAUUCAUACAGUAUUUCUUAUUUUUUCUUAUUUUCUUCACCCGUCUAUUAUAACGUCAGUGAGCUCUCUUUAAUACCCAUUUUCCAAUUUCGUUUAUUUCUUUUUUCUGAAAUCGCAAUUCAUAUUAGAUUAAACGAUCUUUUUAUCACAAAUUUUCCUUCCAUUUUUAUCAAGUUUUAGUAUAGUCGAAUUUUAAUUAAACCCUAAUCAUAUUCAUAUGUAGGAAAAAGAAGAAUUUCUUGAAAAACCCAGUUGUUUAUUUUACAAUUUUUGUUGAUUCAAGCAUGAUGAUGAACUGGGUAUUCCUUUUUUUUUGACAAUUUUUAUUUUUAACAGAAAUUAAAAGUGAAUGGAAUUAAAAUAGAACAUUACAAAAACAACAAAAAAAAAAACUUAGUAUUAAUUUCCAGCGUUCUUGGUCGAAUUGUCGCUCAUGGAUUUUUUAGGUUUUUGGGCCAACUCAACGAUUCCAAGCCUGGGAUGUACAGUCGAGCAAUCUUUAAGGGAAUUUGAAAGACAGGAAAAACCUCUUUUUCUACAAUUGAAAGAGGUUUGAUUCCUUCCACUGUGAUCAGAGAGGGAUUAUCUUGAAAUUUCUUCAGAUUCUUACAAUUUGAAGAUUUUAAGGUUUAGAUUUUUUUUGGUGGGAGAUCUAUUAUUAGCGCCUAUUGAUCAUUACUCAGCGGCUCAUGCUGGCCCUUGAAAGUCGAGGUGCAUGCGGUGGGAUUAAAUCAUGGGUAAGGGUAAUACGAGGCUUUCAUGUAGCAAUGGGAUGCGGCUCAAGGAUAUUCCUAUAGCUAAUUCAAAAGAUGAAUGCUGAUGCAAAGAAUGGAAUUUCAGGGCAAAAGAGGAGAUUGAGAAGAAGAAGAUGGAGCUUUGUCAGCGAGUUCAAGCUCAACUCGGUCGAGUCAAGGAGGAGACUAUAAAUCAUAAUAGAUAGUGAUGUUGGAGGAAAAUCUAAACAUGAUAUUUUGAGGUCUAGAGGUUCUGAAGUUUCCUAUGGUUGUAGCAGUGGCAGCAGUAAAUUCAUGAUGUGAAGUACUUUCCUCCUGUUUCUCUGUUUUCUUUCUGAAAUAUCCGGAAGGAGGAAGAUGGAGCAAGGUUUGCUCGUUUCGAGUUUGAGGUGGAUAAACUCAGGUAUUAUUUGAUGUUCGACCUGUUUUUUGUGCAUAACACUCCGUGGAAAGAUAGAUAUUUAGAGUGCUUGGUUUUUUGCGCCUUGUUGGAGAGUACAAAAGAUACAAUGUUGCUGUUGUGUGAAAAUUGACCCAGCAGACCAGUGCUGUUGUUUCUUGAACCAAUUGACAACUCCUUAGAACAGGGAGAGUGCGUGUUAAUACUGAUGCUGCAAUUUUAAGGGGUAUGGGUAAAGGAUUAGGGGCUACCAUCGGAGGAGCUAAAGGUGAAUUAAUUGUUGUUGCUGUGUGUCGUGUGAAACAUGAGGGGCUUGUGGCGAUGGCUGAGGCUGUUGCUCCAGGAAUGGGAGUACUUUUGGCUCGCCAACUUGGUUUCGAGAACAUUGAACUAGAAUGCGAUGCGUUAGAGGUAGUAAAAGCCAUAUGCUCAGGAAUGAAGUGGAGAGCUUUGUAUGAUCUGAUUAUUGAGGAUAUGUGUCUACUUGAGUCUUCUUUUACUUCUGUCAUCAUGUCUAAAGGUGUGGUAAUGAUGUUGCACACCUAGCUAUUAGAAUAGUUCCUUUGGUGGGGUUAAGCAAAUUUUUUAUUCUAAUUUCCCACAAGGCAUUUUGGCUCUUUUAAAUCUGGUUGUAACUUAACAUUUGUUUUAAUAUAUUUACCCACCUCCUUCAAAAAAAAAGAAGUGAGAUUCAAAUUUGGGUUUUUCUUGAAAAGAGUGCUUGAUAUUCUUUUAUUUUUUGGACGGGAAUAUGAUGAUAUAUUCUUAUUGAUGUACAAACUACACGAAAAUUUUGGUACUCUUAUAAUAAGAGUGGGCUAGAAAUUGGUUUAUUAUUGCA